GUUCCUGGCUCAGGAUGAACGCUAGCUACAGGCUUAACACAUGCAAGUCGAGGGGCAGCAUGGUCUUAGCUUGCUAAGGCUGAUGGCGACCGGCGCACGGGUGAGUAACACGUAUCCAACCUGCCGUCUACUCUUGGCCAGCCUUCUGAAAGGAAGAUUAAUCCAGGAUGGCAUCAUGAGUUCACAUGUCCGCAUGAUUAAAGGUAUUUUCCGGUAGACGAUGGGG
This 226-nucleotide ribosomal RNA is filed under the name uncultured bacterium. RNAcentral's name for it is "partial 16S ribosomal RNA". It matches the Rfam family "Bacterial small subunit ribosomal RNA", at positions 15 to 230 of the family's 1533-position model. The record is from RNAcentral.